This 486-nucleotide ribosomal RNA is filed under the name uncultured bacterium. RNAcentral's name for it is "partial 16S ribosomal RNA". It matches the Rfam family "Bacterial small subunit ribosomal RNA", at positions 30 to 507 of the family's 1533-position model. The record is from RNAcentral.
AUUGAACGCUGGCGGCAUGCCUUACACAUGCAAGUCGAACGGCAGCGCGGACUUCGGUCUGGCGGCGAGUGGCGAACGGGUGAGUAAUACAUCGGAACGUACCCUGUUGUGGGGGAUAACUAGUCGAAAGAUUAGCUAAUACCGCAUACGACCUGAGGGUGAAAGUGGGGGACCGGAAACGGCCUCAUGCAGCAGGAGCGGCCGAUGUCUGAUUAGCUAGUUGGUGGGGUAAAGGCCCACCAAGGCGACGAUCAGUAGCUGGUCUGAGAGGACGAUCAGCCACACUGGGACUGAGACACGGCCCAGACUCCUACGGGAGGCAGCAGUGGGGAAUUUUGGACAAUGGGGGCAACCCUGGUCCAGCAAUGCCGCGUGUGUGAAGAAGGCCUUCGGGUUGUAAAGCACUUUUGUCCGGAAAGAAAUCGCGCUGGUUAAUACCUGGCGUGGAUGACGGUACCGGAAGAAUAAGCACCGGCUAACUACGUG